RNAcentral lists this ribosomal RNA (407 nucleotides) under uncultured bacterium. Its description in RNAcentral is "partial 16S ribosomal RNA". It matches the Rfam family "Bacterial small subunit ribosomal RNA", at positions 30 to 526 of the family's 1533-position model. The record is from RNAcentral.
CUUGAACGCUGGCGGCAGGCCUAACACAUGCAAGUCGAGCGGAGCGGCGGACGGGUGAGUAAUGCCUAGGAAUCUGCCUGGUAGUGGGGGAUAACGUCCGGAAACGGGCGCUAAUACCGCAUACUAUCAGAUGAGCCAUGUUCGGCUUAGCUAGUGGGUGGGGUAAAGGCCUACCAAGGCGACGGUCCGUAACUGGUCUGAGAGGAUGAUCAGUCAGCCUGGAACGGCGACACGGUCCAGUCUCCAACGUGAGGCAGCAUUGGGGAAUAUUGGACGAUGGGCGAAAGCCUGAUCCAGCCAUGCCGCGUGUGUGAAGAAGGUCUUCGGAUUGUAAAGCACUUUAAGUUGGGAGGCGUUACCAACAGAAUAAGCACCGGCUAACUUCGUGCCAGCAGCCGCGGUAAUUC